RNAcentral lists this ribosomal RNA (506 nucleotides) under uncultured Archaeosporales. RNAcentral's name for it is "SSU rRNA". It matches the Rfam family "Eukaryotic small subunit ribosomal RNA", at positions 569 to 1078 of the family's 1831-position model. The record is from RNAcentral. Lineage: Eukaryota; Fungi; Glomeromycota; Glomeromycetes; Archaeosporales.
AGCAGCCGCGGUAAUUCCAGCUCCAAUAGCGUAUAUUAAAGUUGUUGCAGUUAAAAAGCUCGUAGUUGAAUUUUAGGCCUGGCCAGGCGGUCCGUCUUUGGCGAGUACUGUCUUGUUGUCGGGUCUUCCUUCUGGUGAACCAGUAUGCCCUUUAUUGGGUGUGUUGGGGAGCCAGGACCAUUACCUUGAAAAAAUUAGAGUGUUUAAAGCGGGCUAUUGCUUGAAUAGAUUAGCAUGGAAUAAUAGAAUAGGACGUUGUGGUUCUAUUUUGUUGGUUUCUAGGACCACCGUAAUGAUUAAUAGGGAUAGUUGGGGGCAUUAGUAUUCAAUUGUCAGAGGUGAAAUUCUUGGAUUUAUUGAAGACUAACUAUUGCGAAAGCAUUUGCCAAGGAUGUUUUCAUUAAUCAAGAACGAAAGUUAGGGGAUCGAAGACGAUCAGAUACCGUCGUAGUCUUAACCAUAAACUAUGCCGACUAGGAAUCGGGCGACGUUAUUUUAAUGACUCG